GAUGAACGCUGGCGGCGUGCCUAAUACAUGCAAGUCGAGCGAACGGACGAGAAGCUUGCUUCUCUGAUGUUAGCGGCGGACGGGUGAGUAACACGUGGAUAACCUACCUAUAAGACUGGGAUAACUUCGGGAAACCGGAGCUAAUACCGGAUAAUAUUUUGAACCGCAUGGUUCAAAAGUGAAAGACGGUCUUGCUGUCACUUAUAGAUGGAUCCGCGCUGCAUUAGCUAGUUGGUAAGGUAACGGCUUACCAAGGCAACGAUGCAUAGCCGACCUGAGAGGGUGAUCGGCCACACGGGAACUGAGACCCGGUCCAGACUCCUACGGGAGGAAGCAGUAGGGAAUCUUCCGAAAUGGGCGAAAGCCUGACGGAGCAACGCCGCGUGAGUGAUGAAGGUCUUCGGAUCGUAAAACUCUGUUAUUAGGGAAGAACAAAUGUGUAAGUAACUAUGCACGUCUUGACGGUACCUAAUCAGAAAGCCACGGCUAACUACGU
RNAcentral lists this ribosomal RNA (496 nucleotides) under uncultured bacterium. RNAcentral's name for it is "partial 16S ribosomal RNA". It matches the Rfam family "Bacterial small subunit ribosomal RNA", at positions 28 to 506 of the family's 1533-position model. The record is from RNAcentral.